GGCGGUGGCGGCGGCAGGGGCCAGGAGAGUGUGCUCUGACAUCACGGAGGAUUUCCAGGGGUCCUCAGCCUGAUGCCCUGAAGAAAAGCCCCUCAGUGAGGGAAGGAAGGGGAAAUAGCACAGAGCUCAUUUCAGGAGGAGCCAUUGCAGUUCUGUGGACACCCAAGGGACUCUGGGGGACCCGGUCCUGCCACAGGAAGAUAAAGUGCCUCACGGCUAAGGUUGGCAGAAGGAGCUGGACAAGUCCUUCUGGUGAACCCUAACAGGAUCUGAACACAGUCACACGCUGCAUAAUGACGUCAUGGUCAACAACAGACCACACAUGUGACGAGAUCCUCUCCACAGAGGCAGUGAAGAAAGCAAACACUCCUGUUACUGAACAAGCAUUAGACCAGAACGUGACGUGCAUCACAGGCCGUCCACCAGCAGAUGGCAGAGACAGAAAGGACUCUCCCCUUACCCAGCCACGCAGACACAGCCCGCUACGGCCAUGUCCCAGGAUGGUCCGUCACUAGCCCCCAAAGUUUGAUUCACUGGGUCUCCCUGUCCAGAGGACUGGGGCUUCCAGGAACCUGCAAACAUCUGCAUAAUUCCCAGACAACAGUAGGAAUAGAGUGACUUCCUCUGAUUGAACAUAGGAAGAGAGGCUGGACCACCGCCUGGGCAUCGGCCUGUGAAGAGGGAAAGACUCCAGGUCAUCCAGAUGUCACACACACCGCAGAAAGCGGGAAGUUUCCGAGGAAACUGCAGAGAAAGCACCAAUACCUACCAGAAAAGGCAAGGAGAGAUUAAGCUGAGUGAAAGAUUAUCCCAAAACUGAGCAGCUGCUGCUAGGCUCUGAGCAAGUCUGUCCUUGCCAUCCUGCCACCUUUCCUUAACUCGGUCGAGACAAAGGGAGUUAACAAUAGUGUGCAAUUUUGAUCUGUCCCGGGUCCAUGCCAGCGAAAGUUGAGAAAGCCUCAACAAACUGCUGAUGGAAACCAGUGGAGGACUCACCUAUCUUCUGCAUGCACUGCUGCAACUUCUCCCAGGGCACAUUUAUCAGAGAGGCUUCAAGUCCUGUCCUUAGCAACCCCUCUUGGGGGUCUCUAAUGCACCUAAUCCUUCCAUGGUUGGAUGGAGUGCUGAAGAGUCGACUUCUCUUGGCCGCAGCACCCCAUCUCCGGGUCCACGAUGAGCAUGCUCCAUCAAAUAAGCGAAAUCUGCUGGCUGCAGAAUUCCCUGCAGCAUCUAGCACAACAUCCCCACGUGUGGCUGUAAACUGAAAACACGCCGCAGAGCAUUUUUGCAAACUUCUGUGGAUCUUCCCAGGGCACUGGGAAAAAGCCUUUAGAUUAAUGUUAUCAGCAGGAGAGGAGAACACAUGAACUCUUAAUAUUUCCUUUGUGCCUGAGAGGCCUGGAUAGCUUCUCAGCAGCAUCAACUUUGCUGGAGAUUGAGUAGGAAGGGCUGGUUUUCCUCACAUGGAGAUGGGAAAAGGGUAGGAUUACAUGGCACCUUGGUUUCUUUUCCCAUAUUGAUAUUUAUCAGCCUAAUUCCUUUCUUGUAUAUCUUUUCCCAAGUAACUAGUGCAACUACUCUCCAUCCUGUUGCCUUCGUAUGGGGACACAGUCUCAUCAUCCCGUGAUCUUGAUCAUUUAUCUUUACCGUUUCUGCCUUUCCAGCGAAGUGGUGUGUGCAUGGAAGGGGACUCUUGGAGGUGGAAUCUGGUCUAGGACCUGAAGUGGACUCGGGGCUGGGCCAGCAGGCACACAAUUCUACAUCUUCAAACAGGGCAGGCAACACAUUAUCAGCUAAAAAAGCCCCUGCCUUCUGGCAGCUAAGUGAAGCAUUUAGGACCAACGGUUGUCUGAUGACCUCUGCUGAUCUCCCAGGAUGGAGAUGUCACCCAUCUCUGAUGGAGGUACCUCUCAGUGUUCCAGCAACCUGACAGGGUCAGAGUUUUCUUUUGUCUAUUUGAAGUCCUUCCCACUAUAAAUUAACAGAUAAAUAUCAUAAGAUAAUUAAUUUAUCAUGAGACCUAGAAGAUUCUUUACUGUCUUAACAGAG
Molecule: long non-coding RNA, 2049 nt
Organism: Equus asinus (donkey)
Lineage: Eukaryota; Metazoa; Chordata; Mammalia; Perissodactyla; Equidae
Source: Ensembl